GCUCCUUUUAAAGACUAAACCAUGCAAAUCUAAGUAAAUUGAUGUUAAAUAUAGAAACGGUAGAGAGCUCAUUAAAACAGUUUGAAAGGAUGAAAUUAACUUUAUAAAUUUUAUUUAUAAAACUGGAUAUUUCAUCGAAUUGAUGAAUUAAUACGUUGUAACGGAACUUGAGAAAACCUUUAUUGGUUUGAAAGUGAAUUUAUUGAAAGAGAAUUUUAGACUAGAAUUCUCAAUUUUUGGAAGUUCUAUAGGUGACCAUAUCGAUUUGCUGCUUCUGCAGUUUUUCGAAGCUGUUCGUUUCAUACUGAUUUAUCAACUAGUUUGUCGUACCUUUGACUACAAAGGUAUUUACGGAUAACGAAAGAUUAGGGUUUGACUUCGGAGAGGUGGCCUGAGACAUUGCCACCACUUCCAAGGAAGGCAGCAGGUGCGAAAAUUACUCAAUGACACAUCGUCGAAGUAGUGACGAAAAUUACCAGAAUUGGGUCCUUUUAGGAACAGUGUCUGGGAUGAGAACAAUUUAAAACCACAAUUUAAAACCAUUAACAAGAAACAAUUAGAGGGCAAGUCUGGUGCCAGCAGCCGCGGUAAUUCCAGCUCUAAGAGUGUAUUUGAAAGUUGCUGCAGUUAAAAAGCCCAUAGCUGAUAUUAUUGAGAUAGGGUACAUAGAGUUCUAAGCGAUUAGAUCUCUAGUACAUAGAUUAACGAGACUCGAAUUUUAGCAACCGGACUUGGAAACAAGUAACGAGCCCUCUAUGCCUUACGCAGUAUAGAGGUAAAUUAGAAUAGAUUAACUGUGAGUAAAUUAGGGUGUUCAUCACAGGCUUUAUAGCUUUGAAUACAUUAGCAUGGUAUUACGAAAUAUGACAUAUUGUUAGCAAGACUUGAGGUGCUUGCACAGUUACAUGAUAUGUAAUGAGGAAUGAGAAUUGUUGGGGUUACCUUUAUUCACUGGGAAGAGGUGAAAUUCUAUGAUCCAGUGAAGAAACACUAAUGCAAAAGCACUUAACCAAGAUGUUUUUGUCAGUCAAGGACGAAAGUUCAGGGCGCGAAGAUGAUUAGAUACCAUCGUAGUCUGAACAGUAAACAAUGUUGAUUUAGGAUCAGGAAUCAUUUAUUAUGACUUUCCUGGCACUAUACGAGAAAUCUAGAAUAUUCGAACUCUGGGGGUAGUAUAGUCGCAAGACCGAAACUUAAAAGAAUUGACGGAAGAGCACCACCAGGCGUG
RNAcentral lists this ribosomal RNA (1228 nucleotides) under uncultured soil eukaryote. RNAcentral's name for it is "SSU rRNA". It matches the Rfam family "Eukaryotic small subunit ribosomal RNA", at positions 30 to 1178 of the family's 1831-position model. The record is from RNAcentral.